GGUAGCGAAAUUCCUUGUCGGGUAAGUUCCGACCUGCACGAAUGGCGUAACGAUUUGGGCGCUGUCUCAACCGUGGACCCGGUGAAAUUGUACUGUUCGUGAAGAUGCGAACUACCCGCGGAAGGACGGAAAGACCCCGUGAACCUUUACUGCAGCUUGGCAUUGGCAUCUGGUACGGCGCGUAGAGGAUAGGCGGGAGCCUUUGAAGCGGGGGCGCAAGCCCCCGUGGAGGCGACCUUGGAAUACCGCCCUCGUCGUGCCGGCUGCCUAACGCGCGGCCGUGAUCCGGCGCGCGGACCGUGCCAGGCGGGUAGUUUGACUGGGGCGGUCGCCUCCCAAAACGUAACGGAGGCGCGCAAAGGUCCGCUCAGGACGGUCGGCAACCGUCCCGAGAGCGCAAGAGUGCAAGCGGGCUUGACUGCGAGAGAGACACCUCGAGCAGGGACGAAAGUCGGUUCUAGUGAUCCGGCGGCACAGAGUGGAAUGGCCGUCGCUCAACGGAUAAAAGGUACUCCGGGGAUAACAGGCUGAUCUUGCCCAAGAGUCCACAUCGACGGCAAGGUUUGGCACCUCGAUGUCGGCUCAUCGCAUCCUGGGGCUGGAGCAGGUCCCAAGGGUACGGCUGUUCGCCGUUUAAAGCGGUACGCGAGCUGGGUUCAGAACGUCGUGAGACAGUUCGGUCCCUAUCCUCCGCGGGCGCAAGGGAGUUGAGGAGAUCUGCCCCUAGUACGAGAGGACCGGGGUGGACGGACCUCUGGUGACGCGGUUGUCGACCAACGGCACCGCCGCCUAGCUACGUCCGGCACGGAUAACCGCUGAAGGCAUCUAAGUGGGAAGCCGCCUCCGAGAUGAGCUCCCUUUCCGGUAAGGGCCCAGAUAGACUAUCUGGUCGAUAGGGCGCAGCUGCAAGCAGGGCGACCUGCUCAGGCGAGCGCUACUAAUAGCCCGAGCUCUUCUUCAU
This 961-nucleotide ribosomal RNA is filed under the name human gut metagenome. RNAcentral describes it as "bacterial LSU rRNA". It matches the Rfam family "Bacterial large subunit ribosomal RNA", at positions 1955 to 2925 of the family's 2925-position model. The record is from RNAcentral.